Molecule: long non-coding RNA, 4063 nt
Organism: Betta splendens (Siamese fighting fish)
Lineage: Eukaryota; Metazoa; Chordata; Actinopteri; Anabantiformes; Osphronemidae
Exons: 4
Source: RefSeq, a predicted model, not a curated record
CCCAAAUAACCUUUUUCUACUAGAUGUGUACUUUUACUAUAUAGUUUACUUAUGGUUUAUACAGUAAGCGCGGUUGGCUGAACGACGGCUAACUUGACCUCAGUACUGUACUGUGGCAGAAUGAACGAGCGGGAAGGCUUUUUAUUUUUUAAACAAGUGACAACGACAAAAGUGAUAAUGAACUUUGCUUUUCUAAAUUGUCAAGAAAGGGAGUAAAAAUAUCCAAACAAUUAGCAAAAUGCACAGUACAACAAGUUUGCUAAUACUAACUCAGGCUGUGCAAAUAACAGAAGCUAACUUAGUGUUAGCUUGACUGGAAAAAAACUGGAUUUGACCGCCUUCCGAGCGCGCUGGAGCCCAGAUACGACAUUCCAUCCACUGCCAACAAAGAUGGGUCGAUCUAAGCUGGAGGAGCAAAACACCAGACUUCAAAGACAACUUACUACGGAUGGGUGCAUGCAGCAAGAACUAUUUAUCAAUAUUAUAUUUUCUUUGUUGUGUGUGUAUUUGAAUAUUUGCAGUGCUAGUGCCAGAUCACCCUGCUGAGCCAUAGAUCACCCUGUGAUGCAUGUAAUGGACCCAGAUGUGAGACAGAGACGAUUUCCUGCACCCUGUUCCUCUGCCAAAGAGCACGUGGGAAGUCUCCUAUAUUAAUGUUGGUGUACAUAUGUGCCAAACCUGUUAUGUUUCAACUCCCAUAACACAGGCAAAUUUUGAAUUUGUUUACCAGCAAGUAGGAUUGUGUCACAUCUGUGUUAAUUUACACAGUGAACACACACAGUUGGCUGUGUGGUAUUUUACCAUUCAUUUAAGUAUUAAACGAAGCAUAAAACCUUACAGAUGAACAUCGAUGAACCAUGAAUGAAGCUUGAGUUCACAGUCAUUGCAUUCAGUAAUUUGUAUUUAUCCUUUGACCUUUGUGAAAUAGAUAACUCUUUCAUUUGGAUUUAGACCAUCAGCAAAAGAAUGAAUACACCAAAGAUUGGAUCAAACAUGGAUGUUACCCAAAAGAGAAUGGUAUUGUUGAAGGCUAAUGUUCCUCUGCAGUGCAAAAGUUGUGAAAACUCCUUGUUCAAUAAUCAGAAGGCAACAUGAAUCUGCAUAGGCAUGGUAACGAGAUUUGGGGAUUUUCCAUAUAUAAUAUAAUCACCAGGUCACAGGUAAGCAUGAAAUGCAUCAAUUUCCUUUACACAGCCUCUCUAAUUACAGGGUUUUGUUUUGUACAUAAUCAUAUAUAUAAUUUCUGUGGUUCAAACAACACGGAACUACAAACAUUUGUCAAAAUGUUCAAGUGAUCAACAAUCACACUAUGAGUGUAAAUCUUAUUUGGUGAUGUGUAUGGUAGAGACCCUCCAAGAUAGAGCGGCAAUAACACAGAGAAAGUUAGUGAAACCUUUGUAAUCAGGUCAGCGCUCCUGUUAAAUCUAGACAUUCACUUAACUUGAUUGAACAGUGUUUUAUUUUUGCAUACGUAAUUACAAGUCACAAGAAUCAACAGAACUUAAAACAAGCCAUGAAGCCAAAAUGGCCAGAACCGAGACUGAUUCAAGAGGGGUGAUAACAUGAUAAUAAUUAUGAUCAAGGUUAUAUAGGACACGAAACACAACAAAAUGUAUUAGUUCAUUUCAGUUCAAGUACUUGUGUUUAAACCAAAUGAGGAUUUGAGCUUACUGUAUGUGGAUCAUUUAAAUUAGACUUAUUGUUAGUUCAUUGUGUGAAUGUUUGCAAUGUAAAAUAUGUAUUUCUCUACAUUGUACCAGCUGGAGGUCAUGACAUUGUUUUACAUGACCUGUGCAUAUAAUCCUUCACAUAUUUACUCCACAACCAGAUGAAACUCAUCCUUUAAAUAUGAGCGGAGUUAUUGCUGUCCUGCAGGUGGAGCCACUGCUUUGUGGAGAUUAGCAGUGGUGAAGCUGAUCAGAAGUGACCAGAUCUAAACGUGUUGCCUGUCUCUGAUUGUCUGUGAGCUGGUUGUGAAGCUCAGAAAGCUUUUAAUGAUCUGACCACAGCAGAGAUACUGCAGCAGCUGACUGAAUAUUUCAUUUAGCUUCCUGUGUUUGCUAGUAACAGUCAGUGAUACUUCUUUUCUCCUGUAUUCUCUCUCUUGAGUCACUGGUGUUGAGACCGGUGGUGGUGUCUUCUUUGUCUCUGCAGAACAAACAGGAAAAGACAUGAACCCUGAACCUGGAUCGACCCCACGGGUGUCUAUGAAGAUUCUGAAUUUUCUGCAACGUGGCCUAAUGGGCUUGGACCCCGAUCAGCUGAAGCAGGACUCCUUCAGGAUGCUGAGGCAUCCUAUGCCCCCGAAACAGCUGGGCUUCAGGGACAUCUGGGAUAUGGUGGAGGACACGCCAAACGUUUUAUGUAUGAACUUCAGCUACAGGUCUACUCAAAACAUUAUGGAGCUGGUGGCUGAACAGCGAGUGUCAAGGACAGACAAGACGUUCAGGCAGAGAGGAGGAGUCACAAAAAAAACAUUUACAUUUAUACAGCGUGGUAAUAAUAAUUCUCAUCCAGUUUUUGUGUGAAGUUACUAAUUCGUAGACAAACCGGUAUGAAUUGGUCGAACUCAAAAGAUCGACUGGUGACUUUUCAGGCAUUCACAGCGGGUGCGAUCACGAGUGUGAGAGAAUGAGGCCGCUCAUGUACCCACACAGGCAAAAAGGAGAAAAAGCAACCCUUUGAGAAUUUGAGAAACCUAGUGGCUCAUUAAAAUAAUAAUAAUGGGAAUUCAGUAAAACGACACACUCAACACUGACAGUUCUCUGUACAUGCGAAUGAGACACUCCUCAUUCUGUUCUGUCUUACUUGCAUUCAGACUUACCUACACACAUCAUCUUUGCCCUGUGCUUUGACAAAACCCGUGGUGUCAACAUUGCAUCACACACACAAACAAAAAGUGUCCUGCCACAUUAACUGCAGAUAUGAGGCUCUUUAUGAGACGCGAUAUCAUCGCUGCUUUUAGUUGCCUUGUCAGAGCUACAGAGAAAAGAUAUUGCUACCUCCGCGUUAGGGCUCCCAAGUAAUCAGUCAACACAUUAUGGUGUGUCAGCGCAACCUCACAUCAUUGUUUUCAUUGGUUUUUACUCACCUUCCGUCAUCUCCAUUGUUCAGGCUGAUGCUACUGUAAACCAGUGGGUUGCAGUUGCAGCUGUUCUGAAAAAACCACCUGCAUCUUUACCACCUCUGGCUAACGGCUGCUGCUGCUUUACAAAGAACACGUUUAGCUACAGGUAAAGAUUAUUUCCAUCCUUCCAUCCCUCUACUUUCAGGAUUUCAGCACAUGUCGAAGUGUAAGCAAGUAUAAAAUGUAAGAGUCAGUUCAUUUGCAUGAAACUGAGGGACCAGAGAUUCACGUUUUAUUGGAUAGUGUUUACAACUUGCUAUUUCAAAUAAAACUACUUUAAAUGACUCAUGAAACAUGUUUUUACUGUUUUUACCCAGAAAAAACAUAACCACAACCAGAUAACAGUUGAUGGGACAUUUGCCGUUCUGAAUCUAAGAAAAAAAGGAAAAAGAAUCAUAAUCAUAAACAUUUACAGUAGCAGUAUAAAAAAAUUAAUUUGAAAUCUUUUAAAACAAACCAGUAGCAGCUUAUGUUUGAUGGACAUCGCUGACAGUGCAGAGUUAAGUAGGAAGUGUUAACUGAUUCGCCAAGGGGAUCAAUAAAGCAUGUCUUAAAAAAUCAUGGAUUAGUAGGAAACCUGAUACUGCACCAAACCCCUCUUUAACUUACGUACUGUAGCUCACGUUACUACUGAGGAAAUAACCAACACCAGGAAGUGAGUCACAGGUCUAAUGCAGUCAUUGAAGAUGAGAAAAACAUUUUAACGGCGAGUCAAGAAUCUGUGUUAUGUAGCAUUUUUAUUUUAGUGGCCACAGAAGUAUUGAUUACUUCCAGUAAAUCGGAUUCCCACUGUUCAAAAGUCCAAAGUGUCCUGAAUCUUUUGUGUCUGUGUGGAUAUGAUAGAGCUGUCGCUCAAUAGCAACAGCUUGUGAUGAGGGACAGACACUUCCUAACGUUACUGUCAGACCUGUGCUGUUGGUGUGAAGCAGCUGCUCC